AGUGAACGCUGGCGGUAGGCCUAACACAUGCAAGUCGAACGGCAGCACAGUAAGAGCUUGCUCUUACGGGUGGCGAGUGGCGGACGGGUGAGGAAUACAUCGGAAUCUACUUUUUCGUGGGGGAUAACGUAGGGAAACUUACGCUAAUACCGCAUACGACCUACGGGUGAAAGCAGGGGAUCUUCGGACCUUGCGCGAUUGAAUGAGCCGAUGUCGGAUUAGCUAGUUGGCGGGGUAAAGGCCCACCAAGGCGACGAUCCGUAGCUGGUCUGAGAGGAUGAUCAGCCACACUGGAACUGAGACACGGUCCAGACUCCUACGGGAGGCAGCAGUGGGGAAUCUUGGACAAUGGGCGCAAGCCUGAUCCAGCCAUACCGCGUGAGUGAUGAAGGCUUUCGGGUUGUAAAGCCCUUUUGUUGGGAAAGAAAAGCAGCAGGUUAAUACCCCGCUGUUCUGACGGUACCCAAAGAAUAAGCACCGGCUAACUUCGUG
Molecule: ribosomal RNA, 492 nt
Filed under: uncultured bacterium
Lineage: Bacteria
Description: partial 16S ribosomal RNA
Rfam family: Bacterial small subunit ribosomal RNA
Source: RNAcentral